CCUAUAAUACCCAGACAGUACCCCUAUAAUACUAUAAUACCCAGGCAGUACCCCUAUAAUACCCAGGCAGUGCCCCUAUAAUACCCAGACAGUGCCCCUAUAAUACUAUAAUACCCAGGCAGUGCCCCUAUAAUACCCAGACAGUACCCCUAUAAUACUAUAAUACCCAGGCAGUGCCCCUAUAAUACCCAGGCAGUGCCC
Molecule: non-coding RNA, 201 nt
Organism: Pelobates cultripes (western spadefoot toad)
Lineage: Eukaryota; Metazoa; Chordata; Amphibia; Anura; Pelobatidae
Source: the annotation of a GenBank genome assembly